UACGUAGGGUGCGAGCGUUAAUCGGAAUUACUGGGCGUAAAGCGUGCGCAGGCGGUUUUGUAAGACAGAUGUGAAAUCCCCGGGCUUAACCUGGGAACUGCGUUUGUGACUGCAAGACUCGAGUACGGCAGAGGGGGGUGGAAUUCCACGUGUAGCAGUGAAAUGCGUAGAGAUGUGGAGGAACACCGAUGGCGAAGGCAGCCCCCUGGGCUAACACUGACGCUCAGGCACGAAAGCGUGGGGAGCAAACAGG
This 253-nucleotide ribosomal RNA is filed under the name uncultured bacterium. RNAcentral describes it as "partial 16S ribosomal RNA". It matches the Rfam family "Bacterial small subunit ribosomal RNA", at positions 524 to 776 of the family's 1533-position model. The record is from RNAcentral.